UAAAACGUAGGAGCCAAGCGUUAUCCGAAUUCACUGGGCGUAAAGCGUGUGCAGGCGGACUGAUAAGUUGGAUGUGAAAUCUCCUGGCUCAACUGGGAGAGGCCGUUCAAUACUGUCAGACUAGAGGGCAAUAGAGGGAGGCGGAAUUCCCGGUGUAGUGGUGAAAUGCGUAGAUAUCGGGAGGAACACCAGUGGCGAAAGCGGCCUUCUGGAUUGCAUCUGACGCUCAGACACGAAAGCUAGGGGAGCGAACGGG
Molecule: ribosomal RNA, 256 nt
Filed under: uncultured bacterium
Lineage: Bacteria
Description: partial 16S ribosomal RNA
Rfam family: Bacterial small subunit ribosomal RNA
Source: RNAcentral